ACUCAAAUGAAUUGACGGGGACCCGCACAAGCGGUGGAGCAUGUGGUUUAAUUCGAAGCAACGCGAAGAACCUUACCAGUCCUUGACAUCCUUCUGACCGACUCUUAACCGAGUCUUCUCUUCGGAGCAGAAGUGACAGGUGGUGCAUGGUUGUCGUCAGCUCGUGUCGUGAGAUGUUGGGUUAAGUCCCGCAACGAGCGCAACCCUUAUCCUCAGUAGCCAGCAAUUCGGUUGGGAACUCUGUGGAGACUGCCGGGGAUAACCCGGAGGAAGGUGGGGACGACGUCAAAUCAUCAUGCCCCUUAUGGGCUGGGCUACACACGUGCUACAAUGGUGCUAACAAAGUGAAGCAAGCUGGUGACAGUAAGCAAAUCACAAAAAUGGCAUCUCAGUUCGGAUUGUAGUCUGCAACUCGACUACAUGAAGCUGGAAUCGCUAGUAAUCGCAGAUCAGAAUGCUGCGGUGAAUACGUUCCCGGGUCUUGCACACACCGCCCGU
RNAcentral lists this ribosomal RNA (498 nucleotides) under uncultured bacterium. RNAcentral's name for it is "bacterial SSU rRNA". It matches the Rfam family "Bacterial small subunit ribosomal RNA", at positions 899 to 1397 of the family's 1533-position model. The record is from RNAcentral.